UACAGAGGUCUCAAGCGUUGUUCGGAAUUACUGGGCGUAAAGGGCUCGUAGGUGGCCAACUAAGUCAGACGUGAAAUCCCCAGGCUUAACCUGGGAACUGCAUCCGAUACUGGAUGGCUUGAAUCCGGGAGAGGGAUGCGGAAUUCCAGGUGUAGCGGUGAAAUGCGUAGAGAUCGUAAGGAAGACCAGUGGCGAAGGCGGGUCUCUGGACAGUUCCUGACACUGAGGCACGAAGGCCAGGGGAGCAAACGGG
Molecule: ribosomal RNA, 253 nt
Filed under: uncultured bacterium
Lineage: Bacteria
Description: partial 16S ribosomal RNA
Rfam family: Bacterial small subunit ribosomal RNA
Source: RNAcentral